AACCAAUAAGACACUGUUUCUACAUAGCCUGCCCAGCAACAAGGGAAGCAUAUGAGGGCAAGUACUAAACCAAGAAUUCAGACUGUGAAAACAAAGUUGGACUGAAAAAAAAAGGAUUUAAGUCGGCUUCUGUGACCAAUGUUUUCAUAUAUUUGUUACCAAAUUUGCACACAUAUAAUCAAUCCUCUGGAUUUUAAUUUUCAAACCAGAAGGACAUAAGGCAAGAAACAAGAAGAAAAGGAGAGUCAUUCCAAAAGACAGCAAUAACACAAGACACUGCAAUGGUUUCCCACUUCCUGCUCCAGUUCAUUUUACAGAAUGAAACUAAGGCAAACAGAGUUAAGCAACUUGCCCAUGAUCACACAGCAAAUACCUGGUUUUUAAAAAACGAAGAGAGAACUUUCCAAACAUAAGAAGCAGCUGGUGAAGAUACUUGGAGCUAUGAGAAGGAACGUCCUGUGCAAUUAUGAUAUCAUUUAUAUAUAAAUACAUAAUGUAUAUGUAAUGAUAAUAUAUUUCUGUCAGAUUAGUUAUUCAAUGUAUGCAAAAGACAAAUUUGCAUAUUUUUUAACUAAAUAAGGAUGACAAUGCUUAGUGCAUAUAUUGGAAUCAGACCCAUUGCAAUAAAUAUUAAAAAGUCAUUACUUCAAACCCAACAUAAAACAAGGGCUGUUUUCAUUAUUGUCUCUGUAUCCAAUAACUGGGAAUGGACAAAUUAUUUCUUUCCUGUUUUUUUCUCAAUUGGAUAUUAAAAAAAAAAAAUUGGGAUUUUUUUCUUUCAUUUUUUUUCUAACUUAUAUGGAUUUUAAAACUUUUUAAACAUUCAUUUUUAUAAACUUUGAAUUUCAAAUUCUUCUCUUCCUCACCUAUCCCCUCAUCCUGAGAAAGAAACUUUAUAUAAAUUGUAUACAAAUAAAUCGUGGAAAUAUAUUUCCAUAUUAGCCAUGUUGCAAAAGAAAACACAAACUCAAAAUAAACUACAAAUCUCAAGAAAAAUAAAGCUAAAAAAAAUUAUGCUUCAGACUGCAUUCAUGCUCCAUCAGUUUUUUCUCUAGAGGUAAAUAGCAUUUUUCACUGUAAGUCUUUGUUUUGGAUCAUUGUAUUCCUGAGAAUAGCUAAGUCAUUCACAGUUAAUCAUUGUACUAUAUGGCUGCUACUGUGUAGGGUUGUAGUUCUGCUCACUUAGAUGUAUCAGUUCAUAUGUUUCUCCAGAUUUUUUUGAAAGCAUACUAAAGCAAGUAGUCAUCCAAUGAUUUUACAUGGACUGCAGUUAUUUUAAAAAGAAUUUCUCUUAUCAUUUUUUGGACUUUGUUGAUUAUAUGUAAAAAUGCUCAUGCUUUAUAUGUUUAAUUUCUAUCUUACAACUUUGUUGUUAAUUAUUUCAACUUUUUUUAGUCAAUUCUCUAGGAUUCUCUAAGCAGUCUAUCAUAAUAUCUGUAAUAGCUUUUUUCCCUCAUUACCUAUUCUCAUUUCGAACAAUUUCUUUUUCUUCUCUUGUUAUAACUAGCAUUUCUAGUAUAAUACUGAAUAAUUCUAGUGCGUUAAUAAGUAUCUUUACUCAUGAUAUUACUGUAAAGGUUUCUAGCUUAUCUCUUAUAAAUAAUUCUUCAUAAUGAAUGGAUUGUGACCUGUAUCACUGCAGUAAAUCCAAUGUCAUAAAAUUAUCAAAUCUAUUUGAUUAUUUGAAUAUAUCCCUGGUGGUUAAUUCACUGCCUAGAACAUUAGAUGUUUGUUUAAAUAUUUAUUGAAUCAAAGAUUAGCUACCUUCAAAAAUAGCUUUGCUCUCUAUAUUUAAAAAAGAAAAAUGUAAAGCAUUAGCUAUAUUCUAUAGUUAAAAUGAAUUCAUUUCCAACAUCUUUUACACCCAAAGUAAAUAAUUGUAUCAGGAAUUUCCAAAGUUUAAAGGUAACAUUAUAACUGUUCCUUGAUGUUAAAGAGAAGUAAUAGUGCUCAUUCCAAUAUACUAGGAAUUAUAAACAUGUUCUGUUACUCAAUGUCAUUUUUAGGUGCUUAGAAUAUGUGAUUGUGUGAUAAUUUAUAUAGCUACAUAAGCAUAAACUUUUCUUUCUAAAUAAAAUUUGCAUUACAUGCUUCCUAACUUUGUGUUAUUCUUAGCAUAUUCACUCAAUAAAUCAUAGGAUUCUCACAUAAAAGAGACCCCCAGAAUGACAAGUGUUUAUCGGAUGUGUGGUUGAAGGGUACUAGUGCCAAAAAACUAACUCAUUUAAUCUUGAAGCAGUAUAUUAAUCAAUCUUGUAUAUCCUGGAAAAAGCAUAUUCAUCUUCAUUUGGAACAGAAAAGGAAAAAAUAUAUUCUAUUUUAUAGUAAAAAAAAAAAUUUUUGUAACAAAUUAUUGCAAUGCUACUUUUGUCCUUGCCAAUAUCCAUUGAAUGAUAAGAACUAUCAGUAUUCAGAUACACACACACACACACAUACACAAAUAUAUGUAUAUACAUAUAUACACACAUAGAUAUAUACAAAUAAAUUAUCCACUUAUCUUGAGUGUGUGUGUGAGAGAGAAAAAGACAGAGAAAAGAUGGGGGAGGGAGGAGAUUGCAAAAUGCUUUUUUCAAAACAGCUUUAGAGGUAGUCAGUAAUUUGAUACUAUAACUAAAAUAGGUAGGGAUAGAUUGUGCCUUAGAAAAACUAUAAUUUGUUUGAGAAAAGGAACUAUAGAGUGUUUUGGUUUCAUUUAAAAACAAGGGUAUAAGAUUUGUAUGACAGUCAAUAUAAAAUGAGAAAAUUACUGCUGAGAGAAAAAAAAUGAAACUCUUAAAAAUACUAAAACUUAUUAGUCCUUUUUUACAAUUACGCUAAAAAAUUUCUCCUGUACUAGAAUUUCCUAAACACUCACAAAAAUUUUAUAAGAAUGAUAACUGUCUUGUAUCCUCUAACUUGUCACCUUAUUGAUCUUUUUCAUGUACUCCCCUCCACUAAAAUAUACACUCCUUGAAGGCAACAGCUGUUUUUGCCUGUCUUUGUACAACACUAACUACAACUAAUACUUGGCAUGGUGGUAAGGACAUAGUAAAGCACUUACCAGAUGCUUGUUGAUUUGAUAUGACUAAAAAGUAAUUAAAAAAAAAAAAAAAGGCAGCAGGAAGCCCUUGAAGAUGUUAUGGAAAUUAAUUGAGAAUCAGGAAGAGAGAAAUGGAAGAUGAUGGCAGGUGUAUAUGUUUCAGUGAUUACUUUAGCACUGAAACAAGGAUUUAUGGACCCUCAUCCACAGUCCUAGAACCAUUUGUCUUUGAAAAGCCACUGAAAUAUUGAGUUCAAUUUCCUCAUCUGCAAAUUGAGGGGCAUUGAAUUGGACUGAGGGAAUUAGGUGGCAUAGUGCUAGACCCAGAGUCGGAAGAGAGAAAUUUAAAUUCAGCACUGGAAACCUAUCAGCUGUGUGACACUGGGUACUUAACCUAUUUGCUUCAGUUUCCUCAAUCUGUGAAAUGGGAUAAUAACAGCAUCUACCUCCAAAUAUUGUGAAAAUAAUAGUAGCGGUUUUAAAAUCAAUAUGCAAACCUUAAGGCAUUAAACAAAUGCAAGCUAUCAUAAUGUUAACUAAAGUCCUUUUAAAUUUGAAAAUAGUUAAGAUUUUUGUUAGCACAUUUAUAAAAUUACUAGAAAGGUGAUGGUCUGACAGUGAUGAACCAAAAUAGCUUUGGGGGGGGGGGGGGGGGGGAGGUGAAACUUAAGUAUAUAAAUGGAAAUUAGGUUGCCUAUAAUUUAAACAUACUAAUAACAGUAUAUCAUACUUCUAAUAUUUACACAGCUGUUUCUUAGGCAUUUCAAUAUUAAAAAUUAUCUACAAAGACCUAUUAAGCUAUAAGAUACUUAGAUGGAGAGAAAUUAAUAAAAAUAAAAAUAAAAUAAAAGCAAAAAAAAACUUUAACUGAUAAGCACAUAAGAAUGGUUUUAACUAUACUAAUUGAUCUAUGAGAGAUUAUUGUAAAUUAUGCUAACCAAAGCACUGAAAUCUAAAGCUUCCUUAAAAGUCUACAUAUAUAUAAGGACACUUCUAUAAAGUGCUGGCACUUUCCAGAUAAGUUGUUACUUCAAAUUUUUGAGUCUGUUUUUGAAGAUUUAACUGCUCAUUCAAAUUCAAAUGGAAGAGAAAGUCACAGAAAAACCUUUCCUCCAAUCUCAAUUUCAAUUACACUUCUGUUCCUAAUAAAAACGCAGCCAGAAGAUUUUACAAGUAGUCGCUUAGCAACAGCAACAGGCCAAGUUUAAGACUCAGAAAUCUGGCAGCCAUUUGCGAAUGCAUAAUUGGACCUCGCUAGAGCUUUCAUAGUGGAGACAGAGGGAAUUAGGAGGAAUAAUCCCAGAAACAAUAAAACAGUAAAGCAAUCAAGAUGCCAGCUACAGAUAAGCUCUUCCUGAGUGUUCAAAGAUUGAUAUCAAGAAAGACAAAUUCUAAUACCUUAAGAAUUUUUUAAUAUUUACACCUUGAAUGUUUCUUCAAAAUCUAUUCUUUUUAAAAUAUUUUCAUCAUUAUUUUCUCUGUUGAGGGUUCAUACAUGCCACAAGAAAUAUCUAGAAUAUAAAUUAGAAGAAAAACACUUAAUGAGGAAAAAAUACUAGCAGUAAACUUCUCUCAUGAAAAUCUGAUAGCCAAGAUAAAGACAGAUUUGAUACAAAGAAGAACAAGAACUAUUCACUAAUAGAGCAAAGGAUAUAUAAAAUAGGCAAUUUCUAAAAAAAAGAAAUGUAAACUAUUAAUACCCAUAUGAAAAAAAUAAUACACAUCACAAAUAAGAGAAAUAAAUAUUUUAAAAACAAAGAUUCUACCACAUACUUAUAUUAGCAAAAAUAACAAGAGGAAAACUGCCAACUAUUAAAAGGGGAUAUAGGAAUUGUUACAAAACAUUCUGAAAAUCAAUUUCAAAGUACAUACACCUCCAAAAAAAUUAAACGACAUAUGACCUUUGACUUGUAUUUUCAAAUGCAGUUACUGUGCUAAUUAAUUCUGUUUGACUUGCUUUGUGUGUCAUAAGGAAAGCCUGGGAUGGGGGAAAAGAAGGGCCUCUAGGUAGAUUUUGUAGGUACUAAGAGAUGAAAAAAACAAACAAACAAACAAAAAAGUUGUUCAGGGGAACACAAUGAAAACAAGAGAUUCAAAAAGUAAACAAAUGGGACAAUUUUGUGCUUUCUUGUUUGAUUUAAAGUACACUUAACUGUAUGCAACAAAAUUCUUGCUUUCAUACAUUAUUCUCUUUCCUUCCUUGUGUAUUGCAAUGUUUUGUGUAUGCAGAUUGGUGGGUUAAUAUCAAUAAAAAUUUUUAAACAAAAUUUACAUGAGCAAAUAAAUCUUUUAUAACCUAAAAGUGUUUAGGGAGGAAUCCACAAACCAGAAAUAAACUAAAUAAGCUACUAUUAAAAUAAUCUUUGUUUCUACCAAGAAUGUCAAAGAAAAAAUUAUUUCCCUUUGGAAGAGGGAAAUUUACUAACUAAUUUGUAGGUUUUGGUGGACAAUUUAAAUAAACAGCACUUGGCUCUAUAUCAGCAUAAGAUGCAACCAGAUCAAAAGUAGUACCUUGUAUCUUCAUUAUCAAAAUAAUCUAUUUAUUAGUAUGAUUAAUUGAGAAAUAAUCAGUUUUACAUCUUAUCAUGUUUUUUAAACAUUUAAUACAACUCUUUUUAAACAGCAAAACAUAUAACAUUAAACAGCAUUCUCAGUGACUAUAUUUUAUAAGAUGAAAUACCACAUAAAAAAUGAAGGCAGGGACAGUCCAAAACAUUCAAAUACUUAGACAUUUUACACAUUCACACACUAUUAUUUACAAAAAAAUUAAUGUAUCUACCACAGCUGUGGUUCCCAUUUAGUGGAUCACAAACUGCUUAGGCGUUUCCUAGUAUGGUCAAGGAUUUGAUACAAAAACUUCUCAAACUGUUUCUUAAGCAGUGAUAAAAUGUCAAAUAUAUUUUAUAAAAUAUAUUUUUCCUCUGUCAAAAAAAGAAUGUGCUUGUUUGAAGCAUUUUAGUUUUGUUUCUGUAACAAUUAUAAACUAUUACAAUCAAUCACAUAACAAUUUAUGUUCAUGCAGCAACUACAUGCAAUAUAGACCAUACCACAAACAAACAUUCUUGGAGUUUCACAACUUAUCAUCAAAUUGUUUCCAAACCUCUACAGGGGUUCAACAUUUAAAAACAAACUAGAUGCUCAAGGGAUGCUCAGAGUAGGCACAUAUGCUCACUUGCAUUCUAUCUAACUCAACAAAGCUCCUCCCUCAUUUCCUUUUACUCUGUAAUUGUACUUCACCAGCUAUGUAAUCAUGCAAAUCAAGAUGUUAAAAAUGUUUGCAUUCUUGUUACAUAAAUGUCUGGCUAUUCAGAAACUAUGAUCACUCCCCAUGCACAUUAUAGACCAUCCUGAAAUAAUCACAAACUAUCACAAAAAUUCUGCAGAAAUAAAGCUUUUAAGGCCUCUCAUGGUAGUAUUUAGACUGUUUUUUGAUUUUAACUUAUUCUCCACUUAUGUUAUCAAAUGAACUAACUGGCAACACUGGUCAGUUAUUCAAUUAAGUUUUAUAAAAAUGUAAGUGGUAGAAAAGACAAAGUCAUUUCUGAAGGUUUCUUUCUUUACAAAGGCCAAUUUAGAUAUUAAAUGUUAAAAAUUAAGCAGCAUAUGCCAAAUGAACUUUAGGUAUAUGUCAUUUAAGAGAGCAUGUGUCACUAGGGAAGUCACUUAACUCCAAUUGCCUCAGCAAAAUAAUAAUAAUAAUAAUAAUAAUAAUAACAAUAAAAUAUCAUAAUUAUGUUAGCAUAUGAUCAUUAAGUCAAUCUCUAAAUCCCCAGAUUUUAGUAAAAAAAAAUUACUUUUAUCCUGUAAAUUCUACACUAAAGUCAACUUUUCCUGAGCCACAUAUGAAACUGGUAUUUUGGAGCAGCUUUGCACUCAAAAUCAUAUCAAAAGCUUUUUUCAUUCACCAGUUUUCAUUCCCUACAGCUAGUCUUGAUUAUCAUUGGUUUUAAAGGUUACCAAAAAGUAUAGUUAAUAUAUUGAAUUACUUGCUUUCUAAGGGAAGGGGUGGGGAAAACUGAGGGAGAAAAAAUUUGGAACACAAGGUUUUGCAAAGGUUAAUGUUGAAAACUAUGCAUAUAUUUUUAAAAUAAAAAGCUUUAAAAAAAAGAUCAAAAACAUCCCAUUCACCAAUUGGCGGACCUCUGAGAAUGAGAAGGAAUCUCAAGUGCUUGACUCAUUCCAAAUUUACCCCCACUCAAGUAAUUCUAGAAGCCAACAAUAGUUUAAACUAGGACUUCACAUCAAUUUUUUCCCAUAGCAAUCAUUAUACAGGAUUUGCUACAAAUUGCUUUUUAUUUGAAAGUUACUUUCUCCAACGAACUUUAAGUUACAAAUUCUUAACUUCUGCCAAAAUAUUUGUGAAAACUUAGCAGCUUUUUAUACCAUGAGGUUGAUAAAUACCACAUAAGAAAUUAUGCAGGGACAGAAUGUAAUAUAUAUAUUUGGAAAGAAUUCCAGCAAUCCAGGAGAUCAAAGAACUACAAAAAUAUUAAAGCAGACUUGUUCAACAUUUGCAACUGGUCUAUUAAAUCUUGAAGCUAUCUUAAGAGCAACUAGUGAGCAAAUAGCCCUCGUGGAAUGGCACAUAACAGAGGUAAGAAAGCCUUUCAUUGUAGAUGGGAGAUGUUACUGGAGACAUAGAAUUGGCUGUGGAUAACAAGAAAAGGCCCUCUGCAGCCUUUUUUGCCUAACAGAGAAUAGAAUAAUACCACCAAAAUCAAAUUGACAUUCAAAUGGAUUAUUCCUUUUGUCUUGAUGUAUUUUGUCCUACAAAGGUAAAAUUCAAUAAAGUUCUGGAUGGCAUGUUUUUACAAGGACACUAACAGACUAAAAAGACAUUCAGGACAAUAACUAAAAAGGUGAGGAGGAUGGAACUAUGGCACAUGAAAAUCAAUUAGUAAAAUGGGUUAUUUAAUAUGAAGAAAACUAAGGAAGUAACAAUCUCUAUCUUUCAAUUAUCUAAAGGGCUAAAUAAUUAGCCCAAAUAAGUGGGUAAAAAAAUUAAAGAAAAACAGAUUCCAGAACAAUACUUUUAUGUUUUCUCCAAUAAUACACCCACAUAUUUUUAGCCUAUAUACCAGCUAGUCAAUACGUUACCAUAAAUUCUUCAUGGGGUUCACUCAACAUGCCAAAGGCCUUCUUCUAGAUCUCUUGAUAAUUGCCUACAUAUAAUAGUACAUUUUGGUUAUUUCUCAUUCUUAUUACAUGAAAGGUCAACUACCUUUUGCAGUCAUGUAUUUCUCUGAUACUAACUUUUAUGCUAUUUUUGAACAGUUCUUCCUUGUUAAUGACUUGCAGAUUAUUCACAUGCACCAUGUACAUGGCUGAUUCUCAACUUUAAUUCUUUAGGAUCUGAAUAAUCUUUGACUUGCACCCAUAUAGCUUACCCAAGAGAAAAACUAAUAUAUCCACCUUUCUUUUUCCAAAUGUGGGCCUAGUUCAUUAUCUCCUUAUUUCUUUCCAAGACAUAUACAUACUGAUAUACUGGCACUCUGGCUUGUUCAACUGCAUAUCAUAAUCUGAAUAAUAAGAAUAUUUCAUCCACUUGGUUUUUCCUAUGAGUACUCAAACAUUUGAUUGAGUAAGAAUCUCAUCUAGGUAGCUGUACAGUAGUCAGCACAAUAUUAUUUUAAAAUAGGAUCAUCAUUAGGACUUUGCAGUUGAGAAGGAAUCCUCCACCAUUUAGACAAUGGCAUGGCAAUGGCAAACAGUUUUGACAAGUACAUCUACAAUUGAUAUUAAUAAUCAGAAAGUCACUGAAUAGAGUUCUAUUUUUCUUUGUGGUUACAAGUAAUAAGUACAGUGAGUUUUACAAUCUCCACACUUUCAAAUUGUAUGGCUAUCAAGACUACUGUCUGGGGUGCAUAGGUGGCAUAGUGGAUAUAGAGCACUGGCACUGGAGUCAAGAAGACCCGAGUUCAAAUCCAACCUCAGACAUUACUAGCUAUUUGACACUGAGCAAGUCACUUUAUUCUAAAUGCCUCAAAGAGGAAAGGGUGGGGUAAAAGAUGCAGUAAAGUGUGUUAAAAAAAUAGUUUGCAAAGAUAACUGUAUAAAUAUGUAUACAUAUAGUGCAUUAAACAUAUAUUUUAACAUAUAUUGGACUACCUGCCAUCUAGGGGAGGGGUGGAGGGAAGGAGGGGAAAAGUUGAAACACAAGUUUUUGCAAGAGUCAAUGCUGAAAAAUUACCCAUGCAUGUGUUUUGUAAAUAAAAAGCUAUUAAAAAAAAAAUAGUUUGCAAAAGUCUGGCAGUUCCCUUCCUGUUUUAUCAAGGAUGCCCUGUGCUAUGAAGAUUAGUCUUAUAAAGCUAUUGUUGAGAUGGGAAUAGCUGUUACAUUUUCUCACUUUCUUCUGUGCAAUAAUCAGAGUAUCAUAUUGCCUGAUAACACUGUUUAAAACUAUUAUCAUAUUUAAAAGCAUAUGCAACAGUUUAUUGUGAGCACCAGAAGAUAAAGUGACUAAGAUUUAUCAGGGCUGAAUGGGGGUGGAAGAUUAUAGAAUUCAAAAUCAAAUAGAAACAGGAAAGAAUGAUAAUCAAAAGUCAUGUAUGAGAAAAGAAAGGAAUAAGGGCAUACAUAUCAUGUUGCCAAGCCUGGAGAAUAGUGGUGAAAGUGAGAAAAGAACACAAUUUUAAAAAGCUCAAAAUCUUAAAAUGAUAGAAGACCUGAAUUGAAGAUCAGACUUCAACGUGUAGCUUUGUAUUCUUGGGAAUGUCACAGUGAACUGUAGAAUUUUAGAAUAUGAAGGAAUCUUCAAGGCAAUCUAAUUCAACAUACCUAUGUUUCAGGUUAUUCAUCUGAAUAAAUGAGCCAUAGGUACACUUCAUUAUUUAUAAACUUAAAAAAAGAUAUUAUUUUAAUAAUGCAUUGCUGAGAAAUGCUAGGUCCAUUUCACAGAUGAGGAAAAGGAGAAAAUGGGCAGAGAAGAAUCCUGAGUUUACUUACUACUUGUAAGAUGCUAGGUAAACCAUUAUGACCUAAGGUAACAGCUUUUCACAUCUUUGUUUUCUUUGAUACAAUUUCUGCUUCCUCAUGGGAAACACAAGGAACUAUGAUAUUAAAUCCAAAUAUAAUAGCUCUGUUAUCAUUGAUUGAAAAGUUAUAAAAACCUGAAUCUAUCUCUCCUUGUGAUUGUCCAUUUUCCUGUAAGCUUCAUCCUUAAGUUUCCUAGAGACUAUAAUGAUUAGUUGAUCUUACCAUGUUUUCCAUAAAUUUAUUUUUCCUUCUACUUCUAUAUGUUUUAAAAGGUACAGUUAUUACUCAACCUUAUAUCAUCUUUACAUUCAUACCUCCCUGUUGUUCUUGGUUACUAGCACUUUAUGCUUCAGGAGAAAAUGAUGUGCUUACUGGCCCUAUGAGAUCAAUAUGAUAACUAGUCAAUAUGAUAACUAAUCAAAAGGUCUCUUACUGAUGUUUGUUAUUUUAUCCAUUUCUAUUUGCGAAUGCCAGUAGUUUGUUUAAAUAGAUCUGGCAAGAACUGACUCAAUUUGGAGAUUACAUAAACUCAUUUUUUAUUCUUUCUUCUAAAACUGAUUUUCAUUCCUAUAAAAAACAAGUCAGUGUUUUAAUUAUUCAGAAAUAACAGGUUCAUAAAUUACUCAAACCAGAAUCUAUGAGUUUUCCAAAAUACAAUCAAUUUCCAUUUUUGUAAUAUUAUUUAGUACUUUCCAUGUCCAAUAGACACAUUCUUGAACAAAUUAUUUGUGAUAAGAAAUCACACUUCUAUAUGCAUUAUAAACUUUUAGCUAUCCUCAUUUCUGACUCCUGACCCAUGUUUUCCCACAUAUUUUGCAUUCUUAAGUAUACUUUUUUUUUCACUUAAGUCACUAAUUAUCAAAGUACAUGAAUUGGUCCUAGCAAAUUCUUUUUAGAAUUUCUCUUCCUUCUUAUCUUCUAAUAUCUUAAACAAGUAGGAGUAUUUAAAUACCAAAUGACCUAAAAUGUCAAAAAACUGUACCUUCUGUGGUCUUUUGAUGAACUAAACUAACUCCAACAGUUCUUUUAUUUGCUUUGCCUCUCUCCAAAGACAUGUGAGCCACUUUUCCAUUUAACUACAAUUGCUUUGUAUGACUUACAAGAAAAAAAAAAUGUUAAGAGUGAUAUGAUUCCAUUUAUGCAAGAACAUGUCCUUAUUGGUCACUAGGCAAGAAUACUAUCAACUAAAUUUGAUACCCUCUCCCUCCCUUUUCUUCACAUUGCCACUUUCACUGUGGAAGUCAUUAAUGGACCUGGCUACACAGAACUGGGAAUCAUUUUGUUUUUUUUCUUGGUUUCAGGGAUUGCUAUGAUCAUCAGAUCUGACUACUAAUAACAAAACCUUUCCACAUUUUAUUAAAAUGGUACAUAGAAAGUAGAAAAUUUCUAGAACUAUUCUGGAAACUUUUCUAACAUACUGGUGAAAUGAGAAAAAUUUCUGCCAAAUUAUUGCUUAACUUUGGAAAUGAUUUUUUUUUUUUUUAUUUAAUAGCCUUUUAUUUACAGGAUAUAUACAUGGGUAACUUUACAGCAUUAACAAUUGCCAAACCUCUUGUUCCACUUUGGAAAUGAUUAAGGAUGAGGCUAUAUAUAAGGUAAGUAAUGAUCAAACAACAAGCAUUUGGUCUGUCAGGUACUAUGACAAGGGGAUAUAAUCAUGACAGAUUAAAGAAAACUUUGCUAUAUUCUCAUAGAUCAUAUAUUUAAGAUAACUUUAGCGCCAAUCCAAUAGAAACUGCAUAGGAGAAAAUGGUUUCAAAGAAUUGUGAGGUCUCUCUAAAAUGUCUUGAGUUAAGUGGUUUUAGAUGUUGCAAUUUCUUCUCUUCAAGUAAGGCAAUGAAAAGAGUAGAGUUAAUUCCCAAAAAUGCUCUCCUCACCCUGGUUACCAAUUCAGUCAUUCCUGAUAGUCCAAGAAGAGUAUAUAUAAAAGUACCAAUGUUGCCUGAAUUUCAAUAUAAUCUAACACGGAGAAUGUGGCAAAAGUAAUUAGCAGCUUACUUUGCAUUACUACACAGUUGGAGAGCUCUUUGUGAGCUACAGAGCCACAAUCUGUAAUGCACAAUUGUCUGAAUGUUUCCUCCUCCCUUAAAAUGUAAGCUCUUGAAGGAAAAGACUAAGACUACUUUUUGUCUUUCUUCAUAUCCCCAGAGCUUAUCUCAGUACCUGGCACAUAGCAAGCAUUUAAUAAAUGCUUAUUGACUUUAAUAGGAAAAAAAAACUGAAUUAAGGACAUUGAAUUAAGGACAUUGAAUUAAGGAAAAUACAAUCUCAAUUAAUAUUUGGUUUUUGUUUUGUGUACUCUUUUAACACAGAUCAUGAGAACAUAAUAGCCAGAACUCACAGAAACAAUGGUAUGUGUAUGUGCAUUAAUUUCAUUUAUUCUUGUUUCUCUCUUUUUUUAAAUGGAGGAAUAUACAAUUUUGUAAAAAUGAAGUAUAUAUAAACACAUACAUUUUCUACAAUAUACAUAGCAGGUAUUCAUUCUUUUCUUUUUUAAUACAGUACACUUAAGUAUAUAAUGUACCAAAUUAUCUAAAACUUUGACCAUUCAGAGGGCAGAAAAAAGAAAAGCCCAUACUCUUAAAAAUAUACAAAGUCCUCUGAAUAGAGGAAUACAAACAGGCACCACACGAAGAAAAAUGGAAACACAUAUUUCUGUGGAAUAAAACUGCUAUUUUGUGGCUAAUGAAAAUAAUGCCACUAAAAGAGAACAGAAGGAAGCUUAUAAAGGAAUACAAAUAAAAGAACAACUUGCAAAGUAUAACAUCUUAAAUUUAUUCUAGAUUUAUAAAAAAAAAUUAUAUGUAUUAUAUGUAUUAUUACAUGUAAUAAAACUCCCAUUUUCACAUUUUUUGUUCUACUUUCUGGACAAAAAUGUUUGUUGGUUUUCAAACUGCUCUUUAAGGGACAUCUGUGAAAUUCGGGAUGAACAAAUUAUGCUUUUUUAAAAGGAAAAAUAAAAUACUGACAUUAGGUUUUUAAAUUAUAUUGCAUUUUCAAGUUGCAUAUAAAGAAAUCAACUAACAAUGAGACCAGGUGAAAUUCAGUCAAGAGAUCACAGUUAUUUAACCUCUCCUCUCUCCUUCACCUUUUCAAAGCUUUUUUGAAUAUUGCUUUUAAUCUUCUGAACUAUUUGAGUUAUCUGAAUAAGCCUGGGAAAGAAAUCAUGGGUAUGGGUUCUUUCUGAAUACAAAUCUGAUUUCCAAAUGAUCACGUAAGGAGCUCAAAAUUAAUCGAUUCUAAAAUGCAUCCAAUUCAAGUCAAUAAGCAUUUAUUUAAGUACCUAUAAUAAUAUAAUUUGGGUUUAAUUAUAUAUUAUACCUAUAAUACUGUGCAAAGUGCUGGAGAUACAAAGACAAAAGACAGUUCCUGAUCUCAAGAUCACAGUCUAAUGAGGGGUGACUUGUAAACAAGCAUGUACAAACAGGGUAUAUACUGAAUGAAUUGAAGCUGAUCAAUACAGGAAAAUACACCAUUUAUUAAGGAGGAGGAUUGAGAAGAUGAGAUUUUUAACUGGGCCCUGACAAGGGAAGCCAGGAAACAGAGAUGAAGAGGUAGAGAAUUUUAGGCACUGUACAAUCAGUACAGAUACUCAGAGGAGAAAUAUGAAAUGUUUUAGACCAGGAACAGAAAGGUGAGUGUCACUGGAUUUCUGAAGAAUAUGUACAGUGUAUAAAAAUACCUUAAAGGGAGAGAGAAGGAAGUCAGAUUGUGAAGAACUUCAAACGACAUGAUUAAUCCUAAAGAUGAUAGGAAGCCACUGGAACUGAAUUUAGGAAAAUUACUUUGACAUUUCAUGGGAGGAAGGCUUAGAACAAGGGAAGACUGAGGGAGGGAGACUAACUGAUAGGUUAUUGCAAUAAAUAGUCCAGGCAUGAAGUGAUCAUGGCUGGCACUAAGGUGGUAAAUAGUAUCGGGGCUAGAAGGGUGUGUAUAACCCAGCAUGCAUAAAAUGUUUCAAUUAAUCUAUAAGGCUGUCUUGCAUAGGACUGUAGAUUUAAAUAAAGCCAACCAGGUGGCUGGAAACAAUUUCAAGAAUAGCAUCAUAUGACAGAAGAAUAUCUAAUACCAAGUCCUCAGUAAUAAUACUUCAUUAGAAUAAAAAAUAGUGAGAUAGAAUUUCAUGCUUCUAUCUCUAAAGCAACUUCUCCUAGCUCCCAGAUUUCAGUCAUUUGGUGGCUAUAUUAGCAUAUUUUUUUCUAGUAGAUAACCUGAAUUAAUCAAAAUUUUGUUCCAUAUCCAAAAUAAAACACUUAUUUGCCAGUAUUCACUGACAAAGUUACCAGACUGGUCAAGAUGCCUAAAGGACACUAAGGAAAUCAAUUGACAGGGCUUAUUCAGUGUGUUAUCAGGGGCAAAGGGUCAAGCAGCAAUACUCUAGUAAAAUAAGAAGUCAAAGACUCAAAGGAAAACUAGGGUUCUCAAAUCAGAGGAAGUCAGAAAAAUUAUCCAUAAGAGUCAGGAGGGCUAAAUGAGAAUACAGAAUAAAGUAAUAUCCUAAUUACAUGCUUAAGAACACAACUAUUUCCAGUUAGAGAUCAAUUAGAUAUAAUAAAUUUCCUAUUACUUAAAAACCUUCUAUUUUAUUAGUUAAGUCUAAUACAUUUCAUUAAACCACCAAAGGGCAAUAAUUUCUACUAAAUGCAAUACCAUAACUAGUUUCUCAAAAAAAAAAAAAAAAAAAAAAAUUAAUGGAUUCUUUUCUAUAUGUAUUAUAUAGCCUAUUUUUAUCUCAACAAAUCCCAAACUGUUAAAAACAUUGCUCUCCCUAGAAGGAAUUUAUGACCAAAAAAGAAAUAGAGAUUAUUGAUCACAAAAUCGAAAAUUUUGAUUAUACCAAAUUGAAAAGUUUUUGUACAAACAAAACUAAUGCAGACAAGAUUAGAAAGGAAGCAAUAAACUGGGAAAACAUUUUUACAGUCAAAGGUUCUGAUAAAAGCCUCAUUCCCAAAAUAUAGAGAAUUGACUGUAAUUUAUAAGAAAUCAAGCCAUUCUCCAAUUGAUAAAUGAUCAAAGGAUAUGAACAGAUAAUUCUCAAAGAAAUUGAAACUAUUUCUAGCCAUAUGAAAAGAUGCUCCAAGUCAUUAUUAAUCAGAAAAAUGCAAAUUAAGACAACUCAGAUACUAUUACACACCUGUCAGAUUGACUAGAAUGACUGGGAAAGAUGGAAUAUUGGAGUGGAUGUGGGAAAACUGGAACACUGAUACAUUGUUGGUGGAACUGUGAACACAUCCAGUCAUUCUGGAGAGUAGUUUGGAACUAUGCUCAAAAAGUUAUUAAACUGUGCAUACCCUUUGAUCCAGCAGUGUUACUACUGGGCUUAUAUCCCAAAGAGAUCUUAAGGGAAAGGGACCUGUAUGUUUGUGGCAGCCCUUUGUAGCGGACAGAAAGUGGAAACUGAGUGGAUACCCCUUAAUCGGAGAAUGGCUGAAUAAAUUGUGGUAUAUGAAUGUUAUGAAAUAUUACUGUUCUGUAAGAAAUGACCAGCAGAAUGAUUUCAGAAAGACCUGUAGAGACUUGCAUGAAUUUAUGUUGAGUGAAAUGAGCAGGACCAGGAAAUCACUAUAUACUUCAACAACGAUACUGUAUGAUGAUCAAAUCUGAUGGACGUGUCCCUCUUCAACAAUGAGAUGAAACAAACCAGCUCCAACAAAAUAGUAAUGAAUUGAACCAGCUACACCCAGCAAAACUCAGGGAAAUGAGUGUAAACCACUACAUAGAAUUCCUAAUCCCUCUAUUUUUGUCCUCCUGCAUUUUUUUAUUUCCUUCACAGGUUAAUUGUACACUAUUUCAAAGUCUAAUUCAUUUUGUGCAGCAAAAUAACUGUAUGGACAUGUGUGUGUGUGUAUAUAUAUAUAUGUUGUAUUUUAACAUAUUUAACAUGUAUUAGUCAACUUGCCAUGGGGGGGGGGGGGGGGGAGAAGGAGGGGUUAAAAUUGGAACAAAAAGUUUUGUAACUGUCAAUGCUGAAAAAUUACCCAUUCAUAUAUCUUAUAAAUAAAAAACUAUAAUUAAAAAAAUUAAAUUCUAUUUAAAACAAAAACAUUGCUCCCCGAGUUGUACUAAACACAAUGUUAACUUCUUAGGCUAACAGUUUAAAGUAAAAGAGAUUUUAGCAAUCAUACAAUCAACUCCUCAUUUUACAGAUGAGUAAACUGAAGAAGCCCAGAAAAGUUAAGUGUCUGAAUUCACACAAAUGGAAGCCAGAGUUGGGAUUUGAACCCAGAUACCCUCAGAUUCUAAAUCAAGCACUUCUUAUUACACUAUGCUUUCUUCCUUCACCUCUUAAGUACAAUCUUCUUGAGGUGCUUAGGAAUUAUUUCAUUCCUAUCAUUUCUUUGUCCAGUGCUUGAUUAAUUUUUCAUUUCAAUUAAAAUAAGAGCAUAAAGAUAGUUCAACUAUCUUUAGUUGAUAAAGAUCCAAUUGUAUCAACAUUUUGUAGGAUACCAACUGUCUUCCUUGAUAACUUCAAAAAGGACUAUAGAUUUAAAGGUAGGAAGGGGCUCAAAAAUUAACAACAAAUUCCAAAACAUAUUUUUAGUUACUAAUAGAGGCCCAAGAUUUACCUCAGUCUUUUCUGGCCAUAUGCAAGUCCUAGAGUAACGAUUUCCAAAUGUCAUUCAUUAGUCUUCCUUUAAAUUAACCUACAUUUACUUUUUUCGAGAUUCAAAAAAGUCUGCUAAUUCUACUAUACCAGAACUGGGGAAAUGAAUAUAUGAUUACUAUAAAUAUAUGUAUGUGUAUUCCCUUCAGGAUUUUAUAGACUUCAAUCAUCUCACUUUCUCAGAUUUCCCACUUCUAAACUGAAAAGCUUUAUAUAUACUAUGUCCUCUUAACCAUUUUAAUUGCUCUUCUCUAUGGUUAGAUGUCUAUACUAUGGUCCAAAUAAAAUUUAAAGGCAAAUCACUUGACUUACCAAAAGAUCAACUACUUUUCUUUUAAAUUGAAAGCUGCCAAACAUUUUAAAUGACGUCAUGUGUAAAAGAACUGCUUUGUGAAUAACUUUCUGAAAUAUGUUUAAAAUUAUUACUGAGAAAAGAGAAACAACAGGGAAUGGGAUAUAAUCAAAAGAAUACAUUUUCGAUGUACAUACUCUUCUAUUUUAAAAGAUAAUUUAGAGACAUAGGGAUGUAUUUUAGCAGUGGUGAUUUUUUUUUUUUUGAGAUAGAAAGGAGUGAACAUUUUUUAAUAACUGAGAAAAGAUAUAAAAAAGAAUGUUUGGAUUAACUGUUAUUUUGUCUUUAAAAGACCUGUAAAACCCCUUAUUCUUAGUACUUCCUAAAGAUACAAAAGGAAAAUUACUGAAAU
RNAcentral lists this long non-coding RNA (17302 nucleotides) under Sarcophilus harrisii (Tasmanian devil). Its description in RNAcentral is "lncRNA (ENSSHAG00000026504.1)". The record is from RNAcentral. Lineage: Eukaryota; Metazoa; Chordata; Mammalia; Dasyuromorphia; Dasyuridae.